CGAAAUGCGAUAAGUACUGUGAAUUGCAGAAUUCAGUGAAUCAUCGAAUCUUUGAACGCACCUUGCGCUCCUUGGUAUUCCUUGGAGCAUGCCUGUUUGAGUAUCAUGAAAUCUUCAAAGUAAAUCUUUUGUUAACUCAAUUGGUUUCUACUUUGGUAUUGGAGGUCUUUGCAGCUUCACACCUGCUCCUCUUUGUUCAUUAGCUGGAUCUCAGUGUUAUGCUUGGUUCCACUCGGCGUGAUAAGUUAUCUAUCGCUGAGGACACUGUAAAAGGUGGCCAAGGUAAAUGCAGAUGAACCGCUUCUAAUAGUCCAUUGACUUGGACAAUACUUUUAUGAUCUGAUCUCAAAUCAGGUAGGACUACCCGCUGAACUUAAGC
Molecule: unclassified non-coding RNA, 379 nt
Filed under: plant metagenome
Description: partial contains 5.8S ribosomal RNA, internal transcribed spacer 2, and large subunit ribosomal RNA
Rfam family: 5.8S ribosomal RNA (bases 1-106)
Source: RNAcentral